RNAcentral lists this ribosomal RNA (468 nucleotides) under uncultured bacterium. RNAcentral describes it as "partial 16S ribosomal RNA". It matches the Rfam family "Bacterial small subunit ribosomal RNA", at positions 28 to 507 of the family's 1533-position model. The record is from RNAcentral.
GACGAACGCUGGCGGCGUGCUUAACACAUGCAAGUCGAACGGAAAGGCCCUGCUUUUGUGGGGUGCUCGAGUGGCGAACGGGUGAGUAACACGUGAGUAACCUGCCCUUGACUUUGGGAUAACUUCAGGAAACUGGGGCUAAUGCCGGAUAGGAGCUCCUGCUGCAUGGUGGGGGUUGGAAAGUUUCGGCGGUUGGGGAUGGACUCGCGGCUUAUCAGCUUGUUGGUGGGGUAGUGGCUUACCAAGGCUUUGACGGGUAGCCGGCCUGAGAGGGUGACCGGCCACAUUGGGACUGAGAUACGGCCCAGACUCCUACGGGGGGCAGCAGUGGGGAAUAUUGCACAAUGGGCGGAAGCCUGAUGCAGCAACGCCGCGUGCGGGAUGACGGCCUUCGGGUUGUAAACCGCUUUCGCCUGUGACGAAGCGUGAGUGACGGUAAUGGGUAAAGAAGCACCGGCUAACUACGUG